GUGGAUUAGUCUUGGUACUGCUGACAGAUUGUCUGUUCCUAAUGGCACUACAAAAUUUUUCUACAGGUGAAUGUUUUGGAAUGCUACUUAUCUUCAGUUUAAGCUCACCACUACAUCUGGGGCUAGAAGGAGCUUUGUCUCAGGCCAAGAUGGCAGGGGAAGUACUUUAUGGCUGUGGUGGAUUGAUUGGUCUGUCAAGCCACCUGCACUAUACAGAAUUGCUUAUGAUUAUGGGCUAAACUUAAUGAUCCAGAGUUUAUCAGGUGUGUGAAGGAAAAUGAACUUUACCAAAGCAUCUGUGUUUGGUGAGAGAGGAAGUGGACAGGUCUGGAGCUGGCAAAGGAGAGAGCAGAGUGAUGGGAGAGAGAACUCUCUGACCAGAAAAAGUGAAAGUUGUAGAGUGUUGUUCAUUUCAAGUUUUAAAAGCUGUUGAUGUUCAGAAUCACUAAUGAUUUAUGGCUGG
RNAcentral lists this long non-coding RNA (463 nucleotides) under Anser brachyrhynchus (Pink-footed goose). RNAcentral's name for it is "lncRNA (ENSABRG00000010160.1)". Lineage: Eukaryota; Metazoa; Chordata; Aves; Anseriformes; Anatidae. The record is from RNAcentral.